This 402-nucleotide ribosomal RNA is filed under the name uncultured bacterium. Its description in RNAcentral is "bacterial SSU rRNA". It matches the Rfam family "Bacterial small subunit ribosomal RNA", at positions 355 to 772 of the family's 1533-position model. The record is from RNAcentral.
CGAGGAAUAUUGCACACUGGACGCAAGUCUGAUGCAGUAACGCCGCGUGGGGGAAGAAGACCUUCGGGUUGUAAACCUCUUUUUGUAAAGACGAGUGAGGACGGUAUUUAUAGAAUAAGUCUCGGCUAACUACGUGCCAGCAGCCGCGGUAAGACGUAGGAGGCGAGCGUUAUCCGGAUUCACUGGGCGUAAAGCGCAUGUAGGCGGUUCGUUAAGUCCGCGGUUAAAGCCCCCGGCUCAACUGGGGGAGGUUCGUGGAGACUAAGGGACUUGAGGGCAACAGAGGCACGUGGAACUCCCGGUGUAGCGGUGGAAUGCGUAGAGAUCGGGGAAGAACACCAGUGGCGAAGGCGACGUGCUGGGUUGCAACUGACGCUGAGAUGCGAAAGUGUGGGGAGCAAA